CUGCAUUUUCCUCGGAGCAGUUGGUAUUCCCCCCUCCUCUCACCCUCUUUGAACAGACGGGCAUUCGGGGAAUGGGGGGAGGGGACACAGCAUGGCGGGGGUUCCUUGCUCCCUUAGCCAGGGCGGUUGACUCGCACCCUGCUGCAGGACGGAGAAGGCAGCCGCUUGGAAACCCCGGGCUUCAGUCCUCAGCCGGGUCUCUGGAUGUAGACCCCCGGAGUCUGUCUUCUGAGACCGACAAGGCUUGUCAAUGGGCAACACAGGCUCCGGGACUUCCGGAAACAGUUUCUCAAGAAACAUUUCUGAAACUGCUUGGUUAAGGAUGACUCCCGCAAGGGCGGCUGUCACCUGCCUGCUGGGCCCGCACCGGGAGACUUGUCUACACAUAAACUGUGCAGGUUAAAGACAGGCCAGGCCAAAGAAAUAAGCUUGCAGAGGAGAGAGGGUUUUCACCUAUUUUCUUCCCUACCCCAAUCCCUGAAAGUUUUCUCAGAACCUGGAGGGCCCAGCAUGAGCAACUUCCUGGGCUGGGGCUUGGCCAGGGAGGCAGGUGCCUGCCAGGGCAGGCAGGGACCACUCCCUGUCAUCGUAACAAAAGAUAACACAGAAGCAGAUGGGAGAAAAGUCUGGGGAGAAACAACAUGAGCAGAAAACCACAGAAAUUGCAGAUGACCCAGGCAAGUUUGAAAAAUUGGCCUCUUACGAGCCUCUGUCAAGAGAGAACAAGAUGAAGAGUUCAAAGUCGCAAAGUGUGGUCUUGCCUUACCUCAGAAGUCAUGGGACGGUAGAAACAAUAAAGGAAGUGUCACAAGCCCUGAGGAAGUCUCCAAGCUGGCUGGGGCUCCUGAUGAAGGUGCUGGUAGGAGCUCAGCGGAUGUGUCUGGGCUAAUGAGGGCUCUGUGGCUGG
This 907-nucleotide long non-coding RNA is filed under the name Homo sapiens (human). Its description in RNAcentral is "HSALNT0315013". Lineage: Eukaryota; Metazoa; Chordata; Mammalia; Primates; Hominidae. The record is from RNAcentral.